Molecule: ribosomal RNA, 613 nt
Filed under: uncultured bacterium
Lineage: Bacteria
Description: bacterial SSU rRNA
Rfam family: Bacterial small subunit ribosomal RNA
Source: RNAcentral
CCUACGGGAGGCAGCAGUGAGGAAUAUUGGACAAUGGGCGCAAGCCUGAUCCAGCCAUGCCGCGUGCAGGAUGACGGUCCUAUGGAUUGUAAACUGCUUUUGUACAGGAAGAAACACUGGUUCGUGAACCAGCUUGACGGUACUGUAAGAAUAAGGAUCGGCUAACUCCGUGCCAGCAGCCGCGGUAAUACGGAGGAUCCAAGCGUUAUCCGGAAUCAUUGGGUUUAAAGGGUCCGUAGGCGGUUUAAUAAGUCAGUGGUGAAAGCCCAUCGCUCAACGGUGGAACGGCCAUUGAUACUGUUAGACUUGAAUUAUUAGGAAGUAACUAGAAUAUGUAGUGUAGCGGUGAAAUGCUUAGAGAUUACAUGGAAUACCAAUUGCGAAGGCAGGUUACUACUAAUUGAUUGACGCUGAUGGGCGAAAGCGUGGGUAGCGAACAGGAUUAGAUACCCUGGUAGUCCACGCCGUAAACGAUGGAUACUAGCUGUUGGAAGCAAUUUCAGUGGCUAAGCGAAAGUGAUAAGUAUCCACCUGGGGAGUACGUUCGCAAGAAUUGAAACUUCAAAUGAAUUGACCGGNGUUGAGAGNGCGAGGACGACGACGAGGGAGGAGG